GCGGGUGUCGCCAAGUGGUAAGGCACCAGCUUCCCAAGCUGGCAUUCGACGGUUCGAAUCCGUUCACCCGCU
This 72-nucleotide transfer RNA is filed under the name Anaerolineaceae bacterium 4572_5.1. RNAcentral describes it as "tRNA-Gly". It matches the Rfam family "tRNA". Rfam says of the family: Transfer RNA (tRNA) molecules are approximately 80 nucleotides in length. Their secondary structure includes four short double-helical elements and three loops (D, anti-codon, and T loops). Lineage: Bacteria; Bacillati; Chloroflexota; Anaerolineae; Anaerolineales; Anaerolineaceae. The record is from RNAcentral.